Molecule: unclassified non-coding RNA, 250 nt
Filed under: plant metagenome
Description: partial contains small subunit ribosomal RNA, internal transcribed spacer 1, and 5.8S ribosomal RNA
Source: RNAcentral
GUAGGUGAACCUGCGGAAGGAUCAUUAAAGAGUUUAGAGACUUCGGUCUACUACUCCACCCUUUGUUUACAUACCAUUGUUGCUUUGGCAGGCCCGUCGAAAGGCAACCGGCUCCGGCUGGUCAGCGCCUGCCAGAGGACCCAAAACUCAUGUUUAUAUUAUUGUCUGAGUACUAUAUAAUAGUUAAAACUUUCAACAACGGAUCUCUUGGUUCUGGCAUCGAUGAAGAACGCAGCAUCUGACUGACUGG